This is a non-coding RNA of Myotis brandtii (Brandt's bat), 75 nucleotides long. NCBI's taxonomy places the organism in Eukaryota, Metazoa, Chordata, Mammalia, Chiroptera, Vespertilionidae. The record is from Rfam.
GACGGUUCUCAGGUGACGCACCCCAGAAUCGAGCUCCCUCCUCUUUGGUUCCAGGUGCGUCACCCGAGAACCGUA